This 424-nucleotide ribosomal RNA is filed under the name uncultured bacterium. RNAcentral describes it as "bacterial SSU rRNA". It matches the Rfam family "Bacterial small subunit ribosomal RNA", at positions 355 to 775 of the family's 1533-position model. The record is from RNAcentral.
CGAGGAAUAUUGGUCAAUGGGCGCAAGCCUGAACCAGCCAUCCCGCGUGCAGGAAGACGGCCCUAUGGGUUGUAAACUGCUUUUCCAGGGGGAGAAACUUACGUACGCGUUACGUAACUGACGGUACCCUGGGAAUAAGCAUCGGCUAACUCCGUGCCAGCAGCCGCGGUAAUACGGAGGAUGCAAGCGUUAUCCGGAUUCAUUGGGUUUAAAGGGUGCGUAGGCGGACUAUUAAGUCGGUGGUGAAAUCCUGCAGCUUAACUGCAGAACUGCCAUUGAUACUGAUAGCCUUGAGUUUGGUUAAGGUAGGCGGAAUGUGUAAUGUAGCGGUGAAAUGCUUAGAUAUUACACAGAACACCAAUUGCGUAGGCAGCUUACUGAGCCGACACUGACGCUGAGGCACGAAAGCGUGGGGAUCGAACAG